This is a long non-coding RNA of Pistacia vera, 855 nucleotides long. RefSeq lists it as uncharacterized. Lineage: Eukaryota; Viridiplantae; Streptophyta; Magnoliopsida; Sapindales; Anacardiaceae. The transcript has 4 exons. The record is from RefSeq and is a predicted model, not a curated record.
CACCUCAGGUAGAGUUAGCGAGCCGUGUAAUAGCCGACCAUUUCGCGCGGUUCAUGGGGCACUUGAGUUAGUCGCUGGCGCCCGACUACGUGUUGACCCCUAUCCAAUUUUUAGGCCAAUUCGCCCUUCGUACUACCAAAAAAUGAGAUUCUUGCCGAAUCCGAGUGCAUGGUUCAAACCUUCUUUAUAAAGUUGGUGAUGAUCUUGAUGAAGAUAUGGUAGCAAAUUAUGCUGCCAACCUUCAGAAGGUGCUACCUGAGCUUCCUUCUCCAGUUAAUAGUGGGACGAUGCUCACUGUAGAGGAUCUUCAACAAGAGUUGGUUUGCUGUAUCAAUAUCAAACAUAGGAGCUGGAUGAAAUGGUUCUAUCUGGAUAGACACAAGCUCUUGCAGUGGUUGGAAACGGUGGGAGCAGAUCAAAUGCAUUGCGAGCAGAAUCCAUGGAGGCUGAAAAGGAGACUGAGGUGGAUGAAAUUUCAGAACCUUCUGGGAGAAACGUAAUUAACAAGACAGGUUGAAGAAGGUUAGGAGCCGUUUGGCAUCUCAGGAGCAGACUUUUGUUAAUGAGAACCUAACAAGACAGGGUGAAGUAGAGGUAAUGAUGCUGCAUAUUGUUGAUGCAAUGAUACCUUGCUGGAAAUGUAUCAACAUUACAGGUUUCAGUUUGAACUUUUUGGAGCCAGCUGAAGUUAGUUUCCUGCAGUUGGUUUGACGUGCAUGGUUGCAACUUUUUGGGUGUAUUUUAGUUGAAUGGCUUAGGUGUAGUUAAGUAAUGUAAAUGAUAUAUUUUAAGUAUGAUUUGUUAGUGGUUAGAGUUUAAAUUCAAAUUUGUAAAUCCCUGCUGUAGUUGUUGUAA